GGAAAGGGGUAGCCCAACUCCAAAUCCGGUGACCCCUCUCUUCUCUCUAAACCCCCAAAUUCAUCACCCUAAAUCUCAUCCAAAAUUGAGAACUCUCGACUUCCUUCAUCUUCUCCGAUUCAAAAUCGAACCUCUACCAUCUUCUCCGUUUCGAAGUCGGAGCUCCAUCUCCACCGAUUUACUUUGGCGCCUCAAUCGUCCGGUCACAGUGGUCUCGCUCACUCCCAUCGUCUCCGGCCGCUUGACGAGCAGGGCCGUCGCCCGCUGUGUCGCUCAGCGCCGGCUCUCCGUCGCUGUAGCUCCGUCCGCGGCAGCACUCUCCUUUCGAUCCUUCCGUCAGACGGUACGGCGGCACUGGAGUCGCCUCUGCCGCUGACGGCCUCCGCCACCACUCGCAAACGGGCAGCUCCGUCCGCACAUCGUCGGUCAGCCGUCACAUAAGCUAAGCUCUCUAUCCCUUCCCCUUUUUUUCCACUUUAUAAAAUUAGUUUUGGGUUCGGGCAGUGGCUAUGUUGGAGGCCCUUGAUUGUAGUAUCUAAAAUCGUGAUCUUUGGAGAAAACUUUCUAUUUCACUGCAUUGAAUCCUUUGUUUGCGUUCCAUUCUUAAGUUGUGAGUUUUUUUUAUUAAUUGUGAAACUUAGCAGAUGCUUGCUCUUGACUAUUGCUGUGAGAGUCCUAUUGAAAUCUAAGUUCUUGGCUAGUUGAUGAGGUUGAUCUUACAUGAUGCAAGGUUGAGCGGUGACGAGCGCGGUGGGUGUUGAGCAUAAAAGUGAGGAAUGUCUACCAAAUGUCAAGAAUAUGUUGUGUCUUCAUACAUAGCAUUAUUCUACUCUCGAAAUGCUUCCGCUAAAUAUUGUUUCUUUUGAGUUUAUGAUUUGUUGAGAUAUAAUCCCUUGAGUUGUCAAUUGUUGAGAUGAUACUCUGAUUUUUAUUCAAGCUAUUCCCAUUUGUUUCGAGCUAUGUUCGAGUUGUGUUGUUUUCCCCUUUCUUCCCCGCUUCUUUAACCCUCCCCUAGUCGCGAUCAACCGUGCUUUCUAUCCUUAGAAAAUGCGGGCGUGACACAGGUAGCACAUAGAGAGGAGGCAAGACUAUUGGGAGUAGGAGCUGCUGCAGGCAGCCUUGGCUUACCCUCUUGGGUAAGUCUUUGGUCUCCUAAGGGUAAACAAGGUUGUCCCAUUUCAUCUAACAAAACUUCAUUUAUUUCCCUUGUUCCUUAGCAUUUAAACUUGUUUCUAUCUUGCAGCUGGGGGAGGACUUGGGCUGCCAUCCUGCUGCCGAGACCUGGGCCGACGGCUGCUUCGGGCCCGGCCCGUGAAGGGUGCGAUUUGGGCCUGGGGAGAAGGUCCAAAAGUGCAAGCUACAUAGCAAUAUUAUAUUUUGUAAUAGCAUCCAUAAUUCCUUUUUCUUAAACUCAUAAACCCACAUGUAAUUAUGUAAGCUAAAGCGUAGUUUGGGAUGUAGUCGAACAUUCUAGUUCGGGAAUGAACUCUUCGUAUUCUUCCUCGGCGUUUGUUAUGUUUCAUAAAUAUAGGUAAUUGUUUUAGUUCAA
Salvia splendens (bonfire salvia) is the source of this 1549-nucleotide long non-coding RNA. RefSeq lists it as uncharacterized. NCBI's taxonomy places the organism in Eukaryota, Viridiplantae, Streptophyta, Magnoliopsida, Lamiales, Lamiaceae. The record is from RefSeq and is a predicted model, not a curated record. The transcript is spliced from 2 exons.